UGCAAUGAUGUUGUAAUUUGCGUCUUACUCUGUUUUCAGUGACAGUUGCCUGCUGUCAUUAAGCUGAAUCAGAAGGUUGACGAAGAUUAUUACUGAGCA
Meriones unguiculatus (Mongolian gerbil) is the source of this 99-nucleotide small nucleolar RNA. Its record names the gene SNORD16. It matches the Rfam family "Small nucleolar RNA SNORD16". From Rfam's summary of the family: U16 is a member of the C/D class of snoRNA which contain the C (UGAUGA) and D (CUGA) box motifs. U81 acts as a guanine methylation guide and is found in an intron of ribosomal proteins L1 gene in animals. The record is from Ensembl. Lineage: Eukaryota; Metazoa; Chordata; Mammalia; Rodentia; Muridae.